CGGCCAAUAAGGAGCAAACUGAUUUUGUUUGUGUCGAGUGUGGGCAAAAAUCUGAAGAGAUAUACAAAGAAUUUAGAGGAGGAAGCUUUAAACUUUGCAUCUGUAAAUUUUGCAAGAAAAGAGUUGAUAAAUAUGUGGAAUUUGAUACUGUCAUUGUUUUUCUGGAUAUCAUUCUCCAUAAGAUUCAAGCAUACCGUCACCUGGUUUUCAAUAAACCUCCAAAGGGGACAUGUCGCAGAGCUAUGCUAAUGGUUGAAACAGAAAUUAAUGUAUUGUAAAGUUCAGCCAAUGAAAAGAGAGACCGAGAGAGAAGGGCCGAGAGA
RNAcentral lists this unclassified non-coding RNA (323 nucleotides) under Dendronephthya gigantea. RNAcentral describes it as "histamine H2 receptor-like, transcript variant X1". Lineage: Eukaryota; Metazoa; Cnidaria; Anthozoa; Malacalcyonacea; Nephtheidae. The record is from RNAcentral.